GGUUAAGCGACUAAGCGUACACGGUGGAUGCCCUGGCAGUCAGAGGCGAUGAAGGGCGUGCUAAUCUGCGAUAAGCGCCGGUAAGGUGAUAUGAACCGUUAUAACCGGCGAUACCCGAAUGGGGAAACCCAGUGUGAUUCGUCACACUAUCAUUAACUGAAUCCAUAGGUUAAUGAGGCGAACCGGGGGAACUGAAACAUCUAAGUACCCCGAGGAAAAGAAAUCAACCGAGAUUCCCCCAGUAGCGGCGAGCGAACGGGGAGGAGCCCAGAGCCUGAAUCAGCAUGUGUGUUAGUGGAAGCGUCUGGAAAGGCGCGCGAUACAGGGUGACAGCCCCGUACACAAAAGCGCAUGUGCUGUGAGCUCGAUGAGUAGGGCGGGACACGUGGUAUCCUGUCUGAAUAUGGGGGGACCAUCCUCCAAGGCUAAAUACUCCUGACUGACCGAUAGUGAACCAGUACCGUGAGGGAAAGGCGAAAAGAACCCCGGCGAGGGGAGUGAAAAAGAACCUGAAACCGUGUACGUACAAGCAGUGGGAGCCCCACCACUAAGCCAGUGGUGAACUCCACAUACGCAUCCUUUGCUGAGGAUACGGUUAACGGAGCGAAAGCGACGUUCAACCUCAAAAGAAGCAGAGGGGGCUUAGUGGUGGGGUGACUGCGUACCUUUUGUAUAAUGGGUCAGCGACUUAUAUUCUGUAGCAAGGUUAACCGAAUAGGGGAGCCGGAGGGAAACCGAGUCUUAAUUGGGCGUUAAGUUGCAGGGUAUAGACCCGAAACCCGGUGAUCUAGCCAUGGGCAGGUUGAAGGUUGGGUAACACUAACUGGAGGACCGAACCGACCGACUAAUGUUGAAAAAUUAGCGGAUGACCUGUGGCUGGGGGUGAAAGGCCAAUCAAACCGGGAGAUAGCUGGUUCUCCCCGAAAGCUAUUUAGGUAGCGCCUCGUGAACUCAUCUCCGGGGGUAGAGCACUGUUUCGGCUAGGGGGCCAUCCCGGCUUACCAACCCGAUGCAAACUGCGAAUACCGGAGAAUGUUAUCACGGGAGACACACGGCGGGUGCUAACGUCCGUCGUGAAGAGGGAAACAACCCAGACCGCCAGCUAAGGUCCCAAAGUCAUGGUUAAGUGGGAAACGAUGUGGGAAGGCCCAGACAGCCAGGAUGUUGGCUUAGAAGCAGCCAUCAUUUAAAGAAAGCGUAAUAGCUCACUGGUCGAGUCGGCCUGCGCGGAAGAUGUAACGGGGCUAAACCAUGCACCGAAGCUGCGGCAGCGAACGUAUCACCCAAGACAACUUUACGGAGUUGACGAUUGACGGAGCGAAGCGACGUCAAAGCGUUCAUUAAAGUCGAGUUGGCUUAGGGAUACGUUCGUUGGGUAGGGGAGCGUUCUGUAAGCCUGUGAAGGUGGCCUGUGAGGGUUGCUGGAGGUAUCAGAAGUGCGAAUGCUGACAUAAGUAACGAUAAAGCGGGUGAAAAGCCCGCUCGCCGGAAGACCAAGGGUUCCUGUCCAACGUUAAUCGGGGCAGGGUGAGUCGACCCCUAAGGCGAGGCCGAAAGGCGUAGUCGAUGGGAAACGGGUUAAUAUUCCCGUACUUGGUGUUACUGCGAAGGGGGGACGGAGAAGGCUAUGUUGGCCGGGCGACGGUUGUCCCGGUUUAAGCGUGUAGGCUGGUUUUCCAGGCAAAUCCGGAAAAUCAAGGCUGAGGCGUGACGACGAGGCACUACGGUGCUGAAGCAACAAAUGCCCUGCUUCCAGGAAAAGCCUCUAAGCAUCAGGUAACAUCAAAUCGUACCCCAAACCGACACAGGUGGUCAGGUAGAGAAUACCAAGGCGCUUGAGAGAACUCGGGUGAAGGAACUAGGCAAAAUGGUGCCGUAACUUCGGGAGAAGGCACGCUGACAUGUAGGUGAAGUGAUUUACUCAUGGAGCUGAAGUCAGUCGAAGAUACCAGCUGGCUGCAACUGUUUAUUAAAAACACAGCACUGUGCAAACACGAAAGUGGACGUAUACGGUGUGACGCCUGCCCGGUGCCGGAAGGUUAAUUGAUGGGGUCAGCGCAAGCGAAGCUCCUGAUCGAAGCCCCGGUAAACGGCGGCCGUAACUAUAACGGUCCUAAGGUAGCGAAAUUCCUUGUCGGGUAAGUUCCGACCUGCACGAAUGGCGUAAUGAUGGCCAGGCUGUCUCCACCCGAGACUCAGUGAAAUUGAACUCGCUGUGAAGAUGCAGUGUACCCGCGGCAAGACGGAAAGACCCCGUGAACCUUUACUAUAGCUUGACACUGAACAUUGAGCCUUGAUGUGUAGGAUAGGUGGGAGGCUUUGAAGUGUGGACGCCAGUCUGCAUGGAGCCGACCUUGAAAUACCACCCUUUAAUGUUUGAUGUUCUAACGUGGACCCGUUACCCGGGUUGCGGACAGUGUCUGGUGGGUAGUUUGACUGGGGCGGUCUCCUCCUAAAGAGUAACGGAGGAGCACGAAGGUUGGCUAAUCCUGGUCGGACAUCAGGAGGUUAGUGCAAUGGCAUAAGCCAGCUUGACUGCGAGCGUGACGGCGCGAGCAGGUGCGAAAGCAGGUCAUAGUGAUCCGGUGGUUCUGAAUGGAAGGGCCAUCGCUCAACGGAUAAAAGGUACUCCGGGGAUAACAGGCUGAUACCGCCCAAGAGUUCAUAUCGACGGCGGUGUUUGGCACCUCGAUGUCGGCUCAUCACAUCCUGGGGCUGAAGUAGGUCCCAAGGGUAUGGCUGUUCGCCAUUUAAAGUGGUACGCGAGCUGGGUUUAGAACGUCGUGAGACAGUUCGGUCCCUAUCUGCCGUGGGCGCUGGAGAACUGAGGGGGGCUGCUCCUAGUACGAGAGGACCGGAGUGGACGCAUCACUGGUGUUCGGGUUGUCAUGCCAAUGGCACUGCCCGGUAGCUAAAUGCGGAAGAGAUAAGUGCUGAAAGCAUCUAAGCACGAAACUUGCCCCGAGAUGAGUUCUCCCUGAGACUUAGAGUCUCCUGAAGGAACGUUGAAGACGACGACGUUGAUAGGCCGGGUGUGUAAGCGCAGCGAUGCGUUGAGCUAACCGGUACUAAUGAACCGUGAGGCUUAACCUU
RNAcentral lists this ribosomal RNA (3093 nucleotides) under Salmonella enterica subsp. enterica serovar Mbandaka. RNAcentral's name for it is "23S ribosomal RNA". It matches the Rfam family "Bacterial large subunit ribosomal RNA". Lineage: Bacteria; Pseudomonadati; Pseudomonadota; Gammaproteobacteria; Enterobacterales; Enterobacteriaceae. The record is from RNAcentral.